ACCUAUUGUGUCCUCUCUCAACCACUAUCUCCUCUGUAAGUUAAGUUUCUCUCCUAUCAGAUCCAAGAAAUUGAUCAAUUGUUUGGGAGUAGAGAUGCGUAUCAGACCCAUACGUGAUUGAAACCUUGGUCUCUCUAAACAUGUGAUUUGUUAAAGGUUUAUCCGCACAGUUCCUUGUGAGAUGCAGAAUUAGACUUUCACUGUACUCCAUCCCAUCAGGUUGGAACAAGAUUUUCUAUUCAGUAUAUCUAGACUAUUUUUUUUAACUGUGACCUGUGUUAGAUCUUUGGUGCAAGGUAAGUAGAGAUCAUGAUCAAGGAUGACUAAACAUUAUUAAGCAGAGAAUUUCUCAAGUCCCACACUCAAGCAAUUUUUUUUUUAAUUGAGACGCUGGCUAGGUAGUGGCUAGCGAUAGCAAUUUAACGAGCCUACCACGGACGGCGCCACGGCGGGAUCAGAGGAUGCACGUAGCACCGUGCUGAUCCUCCAGCCUCAAGGCGCAGCCUGUUGUCUCGGCACGCACACAGAGCUAAUCCGCAGGCAGAGUGCAGCAGCACAUGGCGGCACAAGCGACGCGAUGUUCCUAGUAGUUUGGCUAGCUAGAAGAUAUACAGGACAGGGAAGAGGGCAGAAAAGCUACAAUUUUUCUUUUCUGUUUUUCUGUGUUCGUGUUGUCGAUUUCCCAAAAAAAAUCUGAAUUUCAGUGGAGCAAAGGCAUGAACUGUAGACCAUAUACAUUAUUUUUAUGUACAAGAGUUAUGGACUACUUUGAUUUUUCAUCAUGUUUAAUGUUUGAGUUUGCCCCACCUAGAUUUUUAUUCUUCCUCCGCCACUGCCUACCAUGGUCGUAGACUAGACUAAGCAUGCGAAGUGGAGCCGUAGAUCACGCGGCCAAAUCAGAUUUUGUGCAUUGUAUGGUCUCUUGGCAGUUUUAGAUUCCUCUUAAAAAAUAAUACCAUUGUGUUUAUGUUGAAUACUAUUUGGGUGUUGAUAUUGAUAUCAUACGACAGUGAGGCAAUUUGUAGUUACCGCUAGAGGAAUUGACUUUGAUAUCAUACAACAGUGAGGUAAAAAAUUUUUUGACACCCCAAAAUUUACCAACGAUUUCAAUAGAUCAGUUUCGACAUAUACUACUGUUAGAAGAUGAUACAACUUUUAUUGGUGAAGUUGACAUCAAAAUUGGAGGUUACAAAUCAUUGUACAGUUCUAUAGUGUCGGUUAGUUUUGUUUGAUAGGUACAUCUUCAUCUCUUGUACAUUUUGUUUCUUUGCUCAGUAUAAAAUGUAUUGUAGGUGUUCAUUGUCUUUUUUUGCCAAAAUAUACUAUAGGCCCUCUAUAGGGUCAUUAUUUCUCCUUUGCGUAAACAUACUACAGAUCAUCAUGUAUGCAGUAGUGAUUGUAUGAUGUCGUUCUAGGUGAUAAGAUAGAUGAAGCAAGAGCUCGAGAGCUAAUAUUGUUGCUGCAGGAGACAAGGCUAUACUAUGCUUGAUGAAUGAUUCCAUGACCUGAGAGAUGCCUAAGUUAUGUAAGUCGUGCCUAAAAAAAUUCUUCUCUUCAUGGCGAGCGCUACUGCCACUUCCACAUAUUUCACAAUUUGUAAUUAUUGGUUGCGGUGCUUGCAUGCCUUGCCAUUGAGGAACCCAAUGUUGGAAGGAGACCGGCGCACCUCACAUAAAUUUCCAAUAGUAAUUUAGCUUGGUGGACAAGGCCAUUCUAUUUUUGUCUUCUGCUUUGCUUGUGUUUUGUAAGUUCUUUAUUCCUUCUAUCAAUGAAAUCGACAACUCUCCUGUUGUGUCAUCAAACUAAACUGGAACCUAUAUCCCUUUUGAAGAUGAUUUUGAGGCAUGAAUGUUUCUUUCUAUAUUGCAGUGUCAAUUAUUCAUGUACAUGCAACCAUUUUUGAACUAUAAUGCACUCGCAAACUGUUUAAGCAACAUUUAGUAUUGGUUUGUUACACUUGCAAUACGCAGAUUGAUAUGCCUCAAAAUACGUUUAUGUGAUAGGUGACGAAAGAGGAAAUUUUCUAACACGUUGAGCCCCAUCAGAUUGGAGCCAAAGAUGAAACCAGUAGUCGCUAACUCCAUUGCACAGAUUUCUUAUUGAGGCAUUGUCGUUCUUUCAUUAUUCAUAUUAAGGUUAGGUUAGAGUGAUGUGCUUAAUGAUCACCAUUUCUAGCAGAGAGUGGUGUGUGUGCUGGAGGUGGAGCAGAUGUUAAGUGACAAUGAUUCGAAGAGACAGAUUUGGAGUCCGAGCUAAACCUGGUUUCAUCACAAUUGCCAAAUAUGUGGAUGUAUUUGCAAUUGCCACAUGCUCUCUGUCCAAAGAUAUAGGACGUAGCAAACAAUGAGAAACCCGACAAGGAGACAACAAAUAUUAUUGCAAGGUGAAGAUGGAGAAAAAAAAGACUUUGGCUUAGAAGAAGGUUAUAUUGGCAGGAAACUGUAUGAUUCUUCUGAAGAGUACCUAUAAAAUAUAUGUCAUUGCUUUGAUCAAUG
This 2495-nucleotide long non-coding RNA is filed under the name Triticum aestivum (bread wheat). Its description in RNAcentral is "long non-coding RNA (TAES_LNC006459)". Lineage: Eukaryota; Viridiplantae; Streptophyta; Magnoliopsida; Poales; Poaceae. The record is from RNAcentral.